RNAcentral lists this ribosomal RNA (499 nucleotides) under uncultured bacterium. Its description in RNAcentral is "partial 16S ribosomal RNA". It matches the Rfam family "Bacterial small subunit ribosomal RNA", at positions 30 to 523 of the family's 1533-position model. The record is from RNAcentral.
AUUGAACGCUGGCGGAAUGCUUUACACAUGCAAGUCGAACGGCAGCACGGACUUCGGUCUGGUGGCGAGUGGCGAACGGGUGAGUAAUACAUCGGAACGUGCCCAGUCGUGGGGGAUGACGUAGCGAAAGCUACGCUAAUACCGCAUACGAUCUAAGGAUGAAAGCGGGGGAUCGCAAGACCUCGCGCGAUUGGAGCGGCCGAUGGCAGAUUAGGUAGUUGGUAGGGUAAAGGCCUACCAAGCCGACGAUCUGUAGCUGGUCUGAGAGGACGACCAGCCACACUGGGACUGAGACACGGCCCAGACUCCUACGGGAGGCAGCAGUGGGAAUUUUGGACAAUGGACGCAAGUCUGAUCCAGCCAUUCCGCGUGCAGGAUGAAGGCCCUCGGGUUGUAAACUGCUUUUGUACAGAACGAAAAGGCUCUGGUUAAUACCUGGAGCUCAUGACGGUACUGUAAGAAUAAGCACCGGCUAACUACGUGCCAGCCGCCGCCGUAA